UGGGGUGUGGCUCAGUAGUAAAGCACUAGCCUAACAUGCAGAAGCCCUGGGUUCAAUUCCUAGCACUGAAA
RNAcentral lists this transfer RNA (71 nucleotides) under Fukomys damarensis (Damara mole-rat). It matches the Rfam family "tRNA". Rfam says of the family: Transfer RNA (tRNA) molecules are approximately 80 nucleotides in length. Their secondary structure includes four short double-helical elements and three loops (D, anti-codon, and T loops). Lineage: Eukaryota; Metazoa; Chordata; Mammalia; Rodentia; Bathyergidae. The record is from Rfam by way of RNAcentral.